Mobula hypostoma (lesser devil ray) is the source of this 2671-nucleotide long non-coding RNA. RefSeq lists it as uncharacterized. The transcript has 4 exons. The record is from RefSeq and is a predicted model, not a curated record. NCBI's taxonomy places the organism in Eukaryota, Metazoa, Chordata, Chondrichthyes, Myliobatiformes, Myliobatidae.
UCGGAGCAAGUGUAAGAGUAUUAAAGUUCGAGGACUUGCAAUAUUUCUCAUGUGGCCAAAUAGUUCGCAUAAGUUAAAAUAAAGUCAUAUAUUAAAUAUUUGUACCUGGCGUUCUUUCCACAUUUUUGUUGUCACGACCAACAGCGUUGCUUCAGCGCACUUGGCUGAUGUCCUUGGACUAAAACUGAAUCAGUUUAGAACUGGCCCUGGUAUGGCAGCAGCCUCAGAAAGAGAUCGGGAAUUAUUCUCCACUUUCUACCUUCAAGGUGACACAGUUGAAGUUUCCCAGCAUCUCAGCCUUUUGGAAAAUGAACCGCUAGAUUUAGUCUGAUCCUGCAGAAGUGGAAACCCAACCUGUUUUCCAAGGAUUAUUCUCCGUGGACAUCUUGAUUCACUGGUGAUUUCCAAACUGAGCAUUACGAAACAGGAUCGUAUCAUGUUGCUAGAGGGAAUGCUGCGACAGUAGCCAAUCCGCUGUGCACAGAUGUGAGAAGCUAGUCACAGUUAAAUUGUUUGCUUCAGCAGCUUAGCUCAUUGUGCCCAUGGGAAAUUAAAAGCAGCAUUAGAAGUCUCCAUGAUGUUACAGACCGGCCAGGUCCCUAAAGGUGUGGGAGUUUUGAAUUUCUCAAUCUUAGCAUGUUGGCAGCAUGUUUUUCAAGUGAUCACAAGAAAUUGUGCUAUUGCUUUUCAUUUUAACUAGUGCAGAGUUUCAUCCAUAUCAGCCCUGGAUAAACAAGUCCCAAAGCAACUCACUGGGGGUGAAAAGCUAGCUUACUUAAUAAUAAGCAUUACUGGAUUGCAAAACAAAAUACAAGCGUGAGCUGACUGCUGAAGCUUGAAUCAAUAUCUUGGUAUCCUGCACUUCCAACAUAUUUCUUGGAUUAUUGAUGGACACCAUGUGCCUGUCUGAGUUGCAGAAGAGAAACUUCGGCUGGAAUUUCCUGCAAAACUAAUGAGUACCCUGCCACCACCGAGGACAACGAGAUGUUGGCUGUUCACCUGUCCUGUACCUUGAAUGAAUCUUAUUAACUUAUUUGAGGCAUUCACCGUAGAACAGAGAAGCACAGUAGAAUUAAUGAAAAACUACGCACAAAGGAAGGAUAACAAACAACCAAUGUGCAAAAGAAGACAAACUGCACAAAUAAGAUAAAUAAAUAAAUAAUACAGAGAACGAGCUGCAUUAAUUGGUUUGAAAUAGAAGCCCUUAUUAAUAAUGUCACUAUAAGGAAUGCAUACAGUAUAUGCAACAAGACAUUCUGUAAUUGCUGUGCAAAUUAUUCAAUAAUAGAAAAUUGAAAGGUAUUGAUUGAAUAAGCUCUGAAUUUGGUUUUUAUUUGGAAAUGCUUGAAUUCAAGGUUUGCCCUGAAGAAAUUCACACAAUAAUCUUUGAAUCAUGAAAAAUAGUUACCACUUUUAGAAAUACUUUCUUGUCUCCAUGUGAAGCAUUCAAAAUCUGAUCGAAGUCAUAGCUAUUGGGAUCUGCAAAUUCUAACCCUCACAUAUACAUCCAAAGUGACUGAAAACGGGGGAAAUUUACAUUUCUUCUUUCUUCUAAAAUAUGGAAAUAACAGCUAAAUAAACACUAGAGGGCUUACUUACCCUGUUACAGUGAAGACGUGCCACACUAUUUCAAAAGCUAAGUCAAUGAUGGUGAAGCAAAUAAUUUGUCACAGAUGCAAAGACCACAGUGUGGAAAUUCUGCAAGGUAUAAUUUAAAACUGAUUUAGAAUGUUUAUUAGCAUAUUUACUGCAAAGCUAUUGAAGAAAAUGGCUAGCUUAAAGUACAGCUUGUAUAAUAGCAAAUAUUCUAAAUGUUGUGUUAAAUGAAUGUAAUAUACUUCUAUUCUUCAAGUAUUCAUCAGGGUAAUUCUAAUAGAAUCGUGAGAUCUUUUCAUAAUGGUAAAUUAAUGAACAGCAUAUUUCACAGUUACUUUUUAAGUUAUUUUUUCCUUUUAUUAUAACUAGAUUUUUGAAUGUUAUAUAUGAGAUUAGUGGCUGAAUAAAAACAAUGCUCAAUAUAUUGCCAGGAGGCUAAAGAAUUAAUGUACUACAGACAAGAGUUAUGAUCACAAGUGUCCUUCUGUCCUGUCACUUUGAAUUCAGUAUUAUUCUCCUGCCUUCUUUCUCUAGAAGAAUAUACCAUUGCAUUUGUUAGAGGAGGGUCUGGAACGACUUCUCCCUUGCACGGGCAAAUAUUACCUGUGUCUAUGUGUAUGCACACUGUGUGUUAAGUCUAUGCACUGAAGUCUGAUUUCCAGUCAUCUGAUAUCUCUUAGCUAUUAAACCAAGAUCCCAAUCUGUCAAAUCCAUGUGGUAGACACAGGAGACUGCAAAUGCUGGAAUCUGGGUUGUCUGUAAAUCUGUGCAGUAGUUGAUCACCCCACGCUCAAAGAAUUCACACGACGGCAUCUUUCUCAGAGCUGAAGCACAAGAAAUCUGAAGGAGUACUGAAGAAGAAAGAGCAUAAAUCCCAGUGAUAGAAACUUAUAAAUAAUUAACGUUUGUUUGAAAAUACUCUGUGCAAUAUUUGAAUAUCACCCAGAAAUGGUUUAUUGUUGUGAUCUGUCUGCCAGUCAUAGUACUUUAGUAAUUUAACUUUUAUUAAGUUUGAUAUCUUUUGAUUUUAUUUGCUUCAAACAAAUCUGGCUGCUACAUCUGCCUCUUUGACAUA